GAAGGUAUAGCUCAAGUGGUAGAGCGCAUGCUUAGCAUGCACAAGGUCCUGGGUUCAAUCCCCGGUACUUCA
RNAcentral lists this transfer RNA (72 nucleotides) under Camelus bactrianus (Bactrian camel). It matches the Rfam family "tRNA". Rfam says of the family: Transfer RNA (tRNA) molecules are approximately 80 nucleotides in length. Their secondary structure includes four short double-helical elements and three loops (D, anti-codon, and T loops). Further hydrogen bonds mediate the characteristic L-shaped molecular structure. tRNAs have two regions of fundamental functional importance: the anti-codon, which is responsible for specific mRNA codon recognition, and the 3' end, to which the tRNAs corresponding amino acid is attached (by aminoacyl-tRNA synthetases). tRNAs cope with the degeneracy of the genetic code in two manners: having more than one tRNA (with a specific anti-codon) for a particular amino acid; and 'wobble' base-pairing, i.e. permitting non-standard base-pairing at the 3rd anti-codon position. RNAcentral also lists the same sequence under 2 other names. The record is from Rfam by way of RNAcentral. Lineage: Eukaryota; Metazoa; Chordata; Mammalia; Artiodactyla; Camelidae.